RNAcentral lists this ribosomal RNA (352 nucleotides) under uncultured Tomentella. RNAcentral describes it as "eukaryotic LSU rRNA". The stretch from base 1 to 72 matches the Rfam family "5.8S ribosomal RNA", at positions 84 to 154 of the family's 154-position model. The record is from RNAcentral. Lineage: Eukaryota; Fungi; Basidiomycota; Agaricomycetes; Thelephorales; Thelephoraceae.
GUGAGUCAUCGAAUCUUUGAACGCACCUUGCGCCCCUUGGCCAUUCCGAGGGGCAUGCCUGUUUGAGUAUCAUGAACACCUCAACUCUCAUGGUUUACCAUGAUGAGCUUGGAUUUUGGGGGUUUUGCUGGCCUGUGGUCAGCUCCUCUCAAAUGGAUCAGCUUACCAGUAUUUGGUGACGUCACAGGUGUGAUAACUAUCUACGCUCGUGGUCGUCUGCCAAGUAACCUUUGGCGACGGAGGUUUGCUGGAGCUUAUAAAUGUCUCUCCUCGGUGAAGACAGCUUUUCGACCGUUCGAUCUCAAAUCAGGUAGGACUACCCGCUGAACUUAAGCAUAUCAAUAAGCGGAGG